Carassius auratus (goldfish) is the source of this 295-nucleotide long non-coding RNA. RefSeq lists it as uncharacterized. The record is from RefSeq and is a predicted model, not a curated record. The transcript is spliced from 3 exons. NCBI's taxonomy places the organism in Eukaryota, Metazoa, Chordata, Actinopteri, Cypriniformes, Cyprinidae.
UUUACAGUCUUCACAACAGCCAGCACUCUGACAACCAGUACAACUUCUCCACCAACAUUGUUGGGAAAAGUUUAUAUAAAUAUUAAAUUGGUGUUUAUCACAUUGGGCCAAAUACCAAGUGAAGCCAGCAUUCUACAGUUGGCCAAAUCUUUGAUUAGCCCACGUUACAGCACUAAAGAAUUCUCAACACGAACCCAGGAUGCGAGCCUUUUGAAUGUCACCUAUACAAGAAUUAAUGAUACAUCCUAUGCUCUCACAUUUGGAUUUGAAAUCAGCAAUAUAUCCAUGUCUGAGA